This 407-nucleotide ribosomal RNA is filed under the name Klebsiella pneumoniae. Its description in RNAcentral is "bacterial SSU rRNA". It matches the Rfam family "Bacterial small subunit ribosomal RNA", at positions 900 to 1310 of the family's 1533-position model. Lineage: Bacteria; Pseudomonadati; Pseudomonadota; Gammaproteobacteria; Enterobacterales; Enterobacteriaceae. The record is from RNAcentral.
CUCAAAUGAAUUGACGGGGGCCCGCACAAGCGGUGGAGCAUGUGGUUUAAUUCGAUGCAACGCGAAGAACCUUACCUGGUCUUGACAUCCACAGAACUUUCCAGAGAUGGAUUGGUGCCUUCGGGAACUGUGAGACAGGUGCUGCAUGGCUGUCGUCAGCUCGUGUUGUGAAAUGUUGGGUUAAGUCCCGCAACGAGCGCAACCCUUAUCCUUUGUUGCCAGCGGUUAGGCCGGGAACUCAAAGGAGACUGCCAGUGAUAAACUGGAGGAAGGUGGGGAUGACGUCAAGUCAUCAUGCCUUACGACCAGGCUACACACGUGCUACAAUGGCAUAUACAAAGAGAAGCGACCUCGCGAGAGCAAGCGGACCUCAUAAAGUAUGUCGUAGUCCGGAUUGGAGUCUGCAA